RNAcentral lists this ribosomal RNA (253 nucleotides) under uncultured bacterium. Its description in RNAcentral is "partial 16S ribosomal RNA". It matches the Rfam family "Bacterial small subunit ribosomal RNA", at positions 524 to 776 of the family's 1533-position model. The record is from RNAcentral.
UACGGAGGGCGCAAGCGUUGCUCGGAAUCACUGGGCGUAAAGCGCACGCAGGCGGCCUGAUAAGUCGGGUGUGAAAGCCCUGGGCUCAACCCAGGAACUGCAUUCGAUACUGCCAGGCUUGAGUUCGGGAGAGGGUGGUGGAAUUCCUGGUGUAGAGGUGAAAUUCGUUGAUAUCAGGAGGAACACCGGCGGCGAAGGCGGCCACCUGGCCCGAUACUGACGCUCAUGUGCGAAAGCGUGGGGAGCAAACAGG